CAAUAGAUUGCUGGCGACCGGCGCACGGGUGAGUAACACGUAUCCAACCUGCCGAUAACUCGGGGAUAGCCUUUCGAAAGAAAGAUUAAUAUCCGAUAGUAUAUUAAAACCGCAUGGUUUUACUAUUAAAGAAUUUCGGUUAUCGAUGGGGAUGCGUUCCAUUAGUUUGUUGGCGGGGUAACGGCCCACCAAGACUACGACGGAUAGGGGUUCUGAGAGGAAGGUCCCCCACAUUGGAACUGAGACACGGUCCAA
This 255-nucleotide ribosomal RNA is filed under the name uncultured bacterium. RNAcentral describes it as "partial 16S ribosomal RNA". It matches the Rfam family "Bacterial small subunit ribosomal RNA", at positions 78 to 334 of the family's 1533-position model. The record is from RNAcentral.